Long non-coding RNA from Vigna angularis (adzuki bean), 544 nucleotides. RefSeq lists it as uncharacterized. NCBI's taxonomy places the organism in Eukaryota, Viridiplantae, Streptophyta, Magnoliopsida, Fabales, Fabaceae. The transcript has 3 exons. The record is from RefSeq and is a predicted model, not a curated record.
UCCAUUGACCCAAGGACACUUGAACCUUGGGAGGGGCUCUUUCCUUGCAAGUCAGAUUUCAUUUUACAGAUUUCUCUCUCUCUAGAACAGAAACCUUGCCCUAACUCAAGUGCUCUGACUUCUCUCUAGGUUUCCAGCCAUUUCCACCGAUUGAAUCCUAAUUUGGUGGUGUUUUCUUGUUCAUGGAGUCAAGAGCUACGAAACCAUCCGAUUGGUUUUGCGUUCCAGCGGGUUCUGUACAGUUUCGCACGGUGUAGGGGUAGUGUUAGAGCAUCUGUGAACUGUGUUGAGCAACCCACCAGAGGAGAAUGAGGCCUCAGUGGAGAAUGUCUGGAGGGGAAUGAGGAAGCAGCUUCUUAGUCUCUCUAGGAAUUCCAUAGCUUUCCAUGUAUCUGAACAAUUCCAGUUCUUGUAUUUUGAAGUACUUUAGUAUUUCACGUUUUAAAAUUUCUUCUACAUUCCGGAUUACUGUAAUCCUUAAAUUUUAAUUUCUUAGAACCUUAUUUGCUAUUUUAUUAUUCUAACUGUUUUCUAUUAUCAUUUA